RNAcentral lists this long non-coding RNA (1482 nucleotides) under Coffea arabica (coffee). Its description in RNAcentral is "long non-coding RNA (CARA_LNC004142)". The record is from RNAcentral. Lineage: Eukaryota; Viridiplantae; Streptophyta; Magnoliopsida; Gentianales; Rubiaceae.
UUUUUUUUUUUUUUUUUUUAAAGUGAUAAUAUCUUCUAUCUUGUUCUUAUUCUAAUCAAGUACAUUAUUCAAUAGAAGGCAUAUCGUAUAUUGGUACAUUAUUCAAGCAGCCCCCUCUGCAUCUAAUGGCUUCUGAUUAUGCUAACAACUAAGUAAGCAUCAUCUAUCUUCUCUCACAAAAUUCAGAAUGGCAAAGAGAAGCAUUUUUCAUCUAUAACAGAAUAGAAGAUGCUGUAGGUAACAACUAAGUCAAACUUCUAUCUUCCCCACUCACAGAUAACUACACAUGACGAAAUCUAAAUAUUCCAGCGUGCUUGUCACCUCAUUCUAGAGAAAGGGAGCAGAAAGCCCAGAAGUGUGCCUGCAAUGUGUAUUAGUAGCUCAGAAAAAUCCCCGUGGGGAAAAACCCUCAGGUAAAGAAGAUACAAGGGAAUUGAAGUUUAAUAGUUUAACCAUAGCUGCUCUUCAACCAGAACAAGCGGACUGAGAGCUGCUAUGCCCUUCGGUCUUUGGCUGGAGGGCAUCCUUUGCCUUCCAAAGGCUGUAUCACUAGUUCAUGACUUGUAAAUGGUUAAUAAAUGUGUGACAAAAACUCAGAAGUUAAUGGCCCUAAUACAAAACUGAUGUUAUUUUGGACCUUAAUUGUGCUCGUCGCUUGCAAACUUUGGGCACCAAAAUCAACCCAAAAAUACUUUGGGUACGUUUGGUUCUAUAGAAUUAGAAUUGAAUUAGAAUCAAAAUUCUAUAAAAUUGGAAUUCUAUGAAUUGGAAUUCCAAGUCAUUUCAAUUCUUUCGUUUGGGAAAUGCAUAGAAUUGAUACGGAAUUUAUUUGAAAUUCCAAAUUCUUUGUUUGCAUGAGAGAAGAAUUCAUUAGGAAUUAGAAUUGUUUUCAAGAAAAUUGCUUACAUAAAAUUUUUCUUUUUUUUUUUUCUAUAUAAUAAUUUCUUUUUUUCUAACAUUUAGCUAAUUUUUACUAAAGAUUUAAAAGAAAAAAUCAAUUUGUGCCUUUAAUAAUUUAUUUUUUCUCACUCUCAUAUCAAUUUCUUUGGUGAGCAUUUCCUUUAGCAUGUUUUGAUCCAUUAUCCCUUUUUGUGAAGAAAUAUUUCCCCAUCUCAGCCGUGGUAUUUUCAACUGUGUUUUGAUAUAUAUUUAAUAAAGCAAAAUUCUUUCUUAUUUCUAAUACUUAUGCAAAAUUCAAAAAAGAUUUCAUCCAUCAUAAUAGCUAUGCACAACUAAAACUCAAACUCCUCCAUUAAGUACCAAUGGCAUGAUAAAACUAUGAGAGAGGAAAAGUUUGAAGCAAUUUUUCACUCAUGUGACAAUAACUACAAAAUCAAGAAGCAAAAUUUCAUGAAAGAAAAAGAUAAGAAAACAAUCAGUUACAAAUAAAUCCUUCAUAUGUAACAAAAACUCUUGAUCAAAUGCUUCAACUGUAUAAACCCAGUUUUGGGAUGUUUCAUUCCACUAGUAUUGAAAGGUGAC